AUUGAACGCUGGCGGCAUGCCUUACACAUGCAAGUCGAACGGCAGCACGGGAGCAAUCCUGGUGGCGAGUGGCGAACGGGUGAGUAAUAUAUCGGAACGUGCCCAGUCGUGGGGAUAACGUAGCGAAAGCUACGCUAAUACCGCAUACUAUCUAUGGAUGAAAGCGGGGGAUCGCAAGACCUCGCGCGAUUGGAGCGGCCGAUAUCAGAUUAGGUAGUUGGUGAGGUAAAGGCUCACCAAGCCGACGAUCUGUAGCUGGUCUGAGAGGACGACCAGCCACACUGGGACUGAGACACGGCCCAGACUCCUACGGGAGGCAGCAGUGGGGAAUUUUGGACAAUGGGCGCAAGCCUGAUCCAGCAAUGCCGCGUGCAGGAUGAAGGCCUCGGGUUGUAACUGCUUUGUUACGGAACGAAACGGUGAGCGUCUAAUACAGUUGCUAAUGACGGUACCGUG
This 456-nucleotide ribosomal RNA is filed under the name uncultured bacterium. RNAcentral describes it as "bacterial SSU rRNA". It matches the Rfam family "Bacterial small subunit ribosomal RNA", at positions 30 to 482 of the family's 1533-position model. The record is from RNAcentral.